GACGAACGCUGGCGGCGUGCUUAACACAUGCAAGUCGAACGAUGAACCCGGAGCUUGCUCCGGCGGAUUAGUGGCGAACGGGUGAGUAACACGUGAGUAACCUGCCCUUGACUCUGGGAUAACUGCUAGAAAUGGUAGCUAAUACCGGAUACGACCCUCGGAGGCAUCUCCAGGGGGUGGAAAGAAUUUCGGUCAAGGAUGGACUCGCGGCCUAUCAGCUAGUUGGUGAGGUAAUGGCUCACCAAGGCUAUGACGGGUAGCUGGUCUGAGAGGAUGACCAGCCAGAGGGAAACUGAGACACGGUUCCCACUCCUACGGGAGGCAGCAGUAAAGAAUCUUCCGCAAUGGACGAAAGUCUGACGGAGCGACGCCGCGUGCAGGAUGAAGGCC
Molecule: ribosomal RNA, 390 nt
Filed under: uncultured bacterium
Lineage: Bacteria
Description: bacterial SSU rRNA
Rfam family: Bacterial small subunit ribosomal RNA
Source: RNAcentral